GGAUCCAUAGGGUAGCGGAUAUCCUACCGGGCUUCGGACCCGGAGACGUGGGUUCGAUUCCCACUGGAUCCG
Transfer RNA from Methanospirillum hungatei JF-1, 72 nucleotides. It matches the Rfam family "tRNA". From Rfam's summary of the family: Transfer RNA (tRNA) molecules are approximately 80 nucleotides in length. Their secondary structure includes four short double-helical elements and three loops (D, anti-codon, and T loops). The record is from Rfam. Lineage: Archaea; Methanobacteriati; Methanobacteriota; Methanomicrobia; Methanomicrobiales; Methanospirillaceae.